This 401-nucleotide ribosomal RNA is filed under the name Bradyrhizobiaceae bacterium Ellin5431. RNAcentral describes it as "bacterial SSU rRNA". It matches the Rfam family "Bacterial small subunit ribosomal RNA", at positions 29 to 455 of the family's 1533-position model. Lineage: Bacteria; Pseudomonadati; Pseudomonadota; Alphaproteobacteria; Hyphomicrobiales; Nitrobacteraceae. The record is from RNAcentral.
AGCGAACGCUGGCGGCAGGCUUAACACAUGCAAGUCGAGCGGGCGUAGCAAUACGUCAGCGGCAGACGGGUGAGUAACGCGUGGGAACAUACCUUUUGGUUCGGAACAACACAGGGAAACUUGUGCUAAUACCGGAUAAGCCCUUACGGGGAAAGAUUUAUCGCCGAAAGAUUGGCCCGCGUCUGAUUAGCUAGUUGGUAGGGUAAUGGCCUACCAAGGCGACGAUCAGUAGCUGGUCUGAGAGGAUGAUCAGCCACAUUGGGACUGAGACACGGCCCAAACUCCUACGGGAGGCAGCAGUGGGGAAUAUUGGACAAUGGGGGCAACCCUGAUCCAGCCAUGCCGCGUGAGUGAUGAAGGCCCUAGGGUUGUAAAGCUCUUUUGUUCGGGAAGAUAAUGAC